This 432-nucleotide ribosomal RNA is filed under the name uncultured bacterium. RNAcentral describes it as "bacterial SSU rRNA". It matches the Rfam family "Bacterial small subunit ribosomal RNA", at positions 958 to 1392 of the family's 1533-position model. The record is from RNAcentral.
AACGCGAAGAACCUUACCAGGUCUUGACAUCUAGUGCAAUCUGUAGAGAUACGGAGUUCCCUUCGGGGACGCUAAGACAGGUGGUGCAUGGCUGUCGUCAGCUCGUGUCGUGAGAUGUUGGGUUAAGUCCCGCAACGAGCGCAACCCUUGUUAUUAGUUGCCAGCAUUAAGUUGGGCACUCUAAUGAGACUGCCGGUGACAAACCGGAGGAAGGUGGGGAUGACGUCAAGUCAUCAUGCCCCUUAUGACCUGGGCUACACACGUGCUACAAUGGGCAGUACAACGAGAAGCAAGCCUGCGAAGGCAAGCGAAUCUCUGAAAGCUGUUCUCGGUUCGGACUGCAGUCUGCAACUCGACUGCACGAAGCUGGAAUCGCUAGUAAUCGCGGAUCAGCACGCCGCGGUGAAUACGUUCCCGGGCCUGUACACACCG